This 260-nucleotide non-coding RNA is filed under the name Clostridium cadaveris. RNAcentral describes it as "T-box sequence". It matches the Rfam family "T-box leader". Rfam says of the family: Uncharged tRNA acts as the effector for transcription antitermination of genes in the T-box leader family. T-boxes are found upstream of many aminoacyl-tRNA synthetase genes and some amino acid biosynthetic genes usually in Gram-positive bacteria. Lineage: Bacteria; Bacillati; Bacillota; Clostridia; Eubacteriales; Clostridiaceae. The record is from RNAcentral.
AUUAAGGCUAUGAUGAGAAGAGUAAAUAUGUAUUUUCUUUUACAGAGAGUCCUCAAUUGCUGAAAGAGGAUAAAGAAGGUCUUAUUGAACCAAGGCUCUGAGCCUCAUACCGAUCCUUAAUACACUUAAGGGGAGACUAUGACAGAUGCUCCUGAUAACGAGCUCGGGUAUAAGUAAUUAUUUUACCGUACCUUAAAGAUUGAAACUUUAAGUUUCAAUGAACUGGGGUGGCACCACGAAGUUAUGCUCUCGUCCCCAAG